RNAcentral lists this ribosomal RNA (484 nucleotides) under uncultured bacterium. Its description in RNAcentral is "partial 16S ribosomal RNA". It matches the Rfam family "Bacterial small subunit ribosomal RNA", at positions 30 to 507 of the family's 1533-position model. The record is from RNAcentral.
AUUGAACGCUGGCGGCAGGCCUAACACAUGCAAGUCGAGCGGAUGAAGGGAGCUUGCUCCUGGAUUCAGCGGCGGACGGGUGAGUAAUGCCUAGGAAUCUGCCUGGUAGUGGGGGGUAACGUCCGGAAACGGGCGCUAAUACCGCAUACGUCCUGAGGGAGAAAGUGGGGGAUCUUCGGACCUCACGCUCUCAGAUGAGCCUAGGUCGGAUUAGCUAGUUGGUGGGGUAAAGGCCUACCAAGGCGACGAUCCGUAACUGGUCUGAGAGGAUGAUCAGUCACACUGGAACUGAGACACGGUCCAGACGCCUAAGGGAGGCAGCAGUGGGGAAUAUUGGACAAUGGGCGAAAGCCUGAUCCAGCCAUGCCGCGUGUGUGAAGAAGGUCUUCGGAUUGUAAAGCACUUUAAGUUGGGAGGAAGGGCAGUAAGUUAAUACCUUGCUGUUUUGACGUUACCAACAGAAUAAGCACCGGCUAACUUCGUG